AACUUAUCAACCACUUCCUCAUUGUCUGAAAGUGGCUUGGAUGUGGGGGCAUUUUCUUUUGCAGGCCCUUGUAAUAAAAGGUCGGCUCCCCUGAAACGCAUUAGUGGCAUCUGAGCUGCUACUGUAGGUGUGAUAAAAUAUCUAUGCCUUUGGUAUGCUGCAUGAACAGAUUGUGCUGCUCAAAACCCAAAAACUUGACAG
RNAcentral lists this unclassified non-coding RNA (201 nucleotides) under uncultured Inocybe. Its description in RNAcentral is "sequence contains ITS2". Lineage: Eukaryota; Fungi; Basidiomycota; Agaricomycetes; Agaricales; Cortinariaceae. The record is from RNAcentral.